GAUGAACGCUGGCGGCGUGCCUAAUACAUGCAAGUCGAGCGGACAGUUAAGGAGCUUGUUGCUUAGACGUUAGCGACGGACGGGUGAGUAACCCGUGGAUGAGAUCAACAUCAGAAUGGGAUAGCUAAGGGAAACCGGAGCUAAUACCGGAUAACAUAUUGCACCCGAUGGUUCAAUCGCGAAAGGUUGCCUUGCUGUUACGUCAAGAUGGAUCCGCGCCGUAUUAGAUAGUUGGUAAGGUAAGGGCUAACCAAGGCAACGGUACGUAGCCUACCUAGGAGAGUGAUCGGCCACACUGCAACUGAGUCACGGUCCAGACUCCUACUGGGAGCAGCAGUAGGGAAUCUUCCGCGAUAGGCGUAAGGCAGACGGCGCAACGCCGCAUAGGCUAUGAAGGUCUUCGCGUCUUAAAACUCUAUUAUCAGGGAUGAACAACUGCGUAAGUAGCUGAACACGUAAUGACGGUACCUGAUCAAAAAGCCACGGCUAACUCCGUG
RNAcentral lists this ribosomal RNA (497 nucleotides) under uncultured bacterium. Its description in RNAcentral is "partial 16S ribosomal RNA". It matches the Rfam family "Bacterial small subunit ribosomal RNA", at positions 28 to 507 of the family's 1533-position model. The record is from RNAcentral.